RNAcentral lists this ribosomal RNA (254 nucleotides) under uncultured bacterium. RNAcentral's name for it is "partial 16S ribosomal RNA". It matches the Rfam family "Bacterial small subunit ribosomal RNA", at positions 524 to 776 of the family's 1533-position model. The record is from RNAcentral.
CACGUAGGGGGCAAGCGUUGUCCGGAUUUAUUGGGCGUAAAGAGCUCGUAGGCGGUUCGGCAAGUCGGGUGUGAAACCCCCAGGCUCAACCUGGGGACGCCACCCGAUACUGCUGUGACUUGAGUCCGGUAGGGGAGCGUGGAAUUCCUGGUGUAGCGGUGAAAUGCGCAGAUAUCAGGAGGAACACCAGUGGCGAAGGCGACUUCCUGGCCUGUUCUUGACGCUGAGGCGCGAAAGCUAGGGGAGCAAACGGG